AUGACCGCACUAGGAAGAGGCCGGUAAGAACUCGCUGGCGGCAAGGCUACGAACUACCUAAAAGGACGUAUGGAGCAGGGCCUGGGCGGGGUUAGGAGGGGAUCCUGUGACGUCUCGUUCCCUCCCCCGGCUCACGUGGGUGCCACCCACCUGCCCGGCCCACAGGCUACGGAGAAGGCUUCGACGACGUCAUCAUCCAGGGGGAUCUGGAGGAGCUGAAGUUUGUGGCUUUUUACACUAAAGGCGACGAGGUGAUCGCCGUGGCCAGCAUGAACUACGAUCCCAUUGUGUCCAAGGUCGCUGAGGUGCUGGCCUCAGGCCGUGCCAUCCGGAAGCGGGAGGUGGAGCGCAGCAAGCACACAGUGGUGGCCUAUAAAGAUGCCAUUUAUGUAUUUGGUGGAGACAAUGGGAAGACCAUGCUCAAUGACCUCCUGCGGUUCGAUGUGAAAGACUGCUCCUGGUGCAGGGCCUUUACCACUGGGACCCCACCGGCCCCCCGUUACCACCACUCGGCCGUCGUCUAUGGGAGCAGCAUGUUUGUCUUUGGGGGUUACACUGGGGACAUUUAUUCCAAUUCUAACUUGAAGAAUAAAAACGACCUCUUUGAAUACAAGUUUGCAACUGGCCAGUGGACGGAGUGGAAAAUUGAAGGACGGUUGCCAGUCGCUAGGUCAGCCCAUGGGGCCACGGUGUACAGUGACAAGCUGUGGAUCUUUGCUGGCUAUGACGGCAACGCCAGGUUGAAUGACAUGUGGACAAUUGGCCUCCAGGACCGAGAGCUCACCUGCUGGGAGGAGGUGGCCCAGAGUGGCGAGAUCCCCCCAUCUUGCUGCAACUUCCCCGUGGCUGUGUGCCGGGACAAGAUGUUUGUAUUCUCUGGGCAAAGCGGAGCCAAAAUAACCAACAACCUCUUCCAGUUUGAAUUCAAGGACAAGACGUGGACACGCAUCCCAACUGAACACCUGCUCCGGGGCUCCCCACCACCCCCGCAGCGGCGCUACGGGCAUACCAUGGUGGCCUUUGACCGCCACCUCUAUGUGUUUGGGGGUGCGGCCGACAACACGCUGCCCAACGAGCUGCACUGCUAUGACGUGGACUUCCAGACCUGGGAGGUCGUCCAGCCCAGCUCCGACAGCGAGGUUGGUGGGGCUGAAGUGCCCGAGCGAGCCUGUGCUUCCGAGGAGGUGCCCACCCUGACCUAUGAGGAGCGGGUUGGCUUCAAGAAGUCCCGAGAUGUGUUUGGCCUGGACUUUGGCACCACCUCAGCCAAGCAGCCCACCCAGCCUGCCUCGGAGCUGCCCAGUGGGAGGCUCUUCCACGCGGCUGCUGUCAUCUCGGACGCCAUGUACAUCUUCGGGGGCACGGUGGACAACAACAUCCGCAGCGGGGAGAUGUACAGGUUCCAGUUCUCCUGUUACCCUAAAUGCACGCUGCACGAGGACUACGGGCGGCUGUGGGAGAGCCGCCAGUUCUGCGACGUGGAGUUCGUGCUGGGUGAGAAGGAGGAGUGCGUGCAGGGCCACGUAGCCAUUGUCACAGCGCGGAGCCGCUGGCUUCGCAGGAAGAUCACGCAGGCGCGGGAGAGGCUGGCCCAGAAGCUGGAGCAGGAGGCCGCCCCAGUUCCCAGGGAGGCCCCCGGCGUGGCUGCUGGUGGGGCCCGGCCGCCCCUGCUGCACGUGGCCAUCCGGGAGGCCGAGGCCCGGCCCUUCGAGGUGCUCAUGCAGUUCCUCUACACCGACAAGAUCAAAUACCCACGGAAAGGCCAUGUGGAGGAUGUGCUGCUCAUCAUGGAUGUGUACAAACUGGCACUGAGCUUCCAGUUGUGCCGCCUGGAGCAGCUGUGCCGCCAGUACAUCGAGGCCUCCGUGGACCUGCAGAACGUGCUGGUUGUGUGCGAGAGUGCCGCCCGGCUGCAGCUGAGCCAACUCAAGGAGCACUGCCUGAACUUCGUGGUAAAGGAGUCCCACUUCAACCAGGUGAUCAUGAUGAAGGAGUUCGAGCGCCUCUCCUCUCCACUGAUAGUGGAGAUUGUGCGGCGGAAGCAGCAGCCGCCCCCUCGCACUCCCUUGGACCAGCCAGUGGACAUUGGCACAUCUCUGAUCCAGGACAUGAAGGCAUACCUGGAGGGAGCGGGCGCGGAAUUCUGUGACAUCACUCUGUUGCUUGACGGGCACCCACGGCCAGCCCACAAGGCUAUCCUGGCCGCCCGCUCCAGCUACUUUGAAGCCAUGUUCCGGUCCUUCAUGCCCGAAGAUGGGCAGGUGAACAUCUCCAUCGGGGAGAUGGUGCCCAGCAGGCAGGCCUUCGAGUCCAUGCUGCGCUACAUCUACUACGGCGAGGUCAACAUGCCGCCCGAGGACUCGCUCUACUUGUUUGCGGCCCCCUACUACUACGGCUUCUACAACAACCGGCUGCAGGCGUACUGCAAGCAGAACCUGGAGAUGAACGUGACGGUGCAGAACGUGCUGCAGAUCCUGGAGGCAGCUGACAAAACGCAGGCACUGGACAUGAAGCGGCACUGCCUGCACAUCAUUGUGCACCAGUUCACCAAGGUCUCCAAGUUGCCCACCCUGCGGUCGCUGAGCCAGCAGCUGCUGCUGGACAUCAUAGACUCCCUGGCCUCCCACAUCUCAGACAAGCAGUGCGCAGAGCUGGGCGCCGACAUCUGAGGCCCUGUGGCGCCUGCCCAUUGUGAAGAAUCGCCGUGCCUGCCUGCCCUGCCUACUGAGAAGACUACCGGCUAUGCGCAUGCCUAUGGCAGUGGGUGCACCUGCCAGGCCAAGGGUCAGGGUGCCCAGAGCCUCCAAAGAGAGCUGAGGGGAUGUGGGGCCCCAAACUCAUUAAUUCACUGAAGACACAGGUCCCACAGGGAGCGGAUGAUGAAGCAGACCCCCUCCUGUCAUCACCCUCUCCUGGUGUAGUGUGGAUGCGAGGCCACGGCUCAGUGAUGGGCUCACCACCCAGAAGUGGGGAGAGACUUUGGGCCUCCCACCCAGUGGGGCUUGGCCUGGCUUCUGUGGCCUGGGCGUGUUGUGGACUCAGGCACUGGGGCCUGUCACCAAGGCUCCUCCAACAUGCGGGAGGAGGCUUAGCAGACUUGCGCUGCACCAGCGAAUCUGCCUGGGCUGCUCCUGUCCCACCCACCCUCACUGAGAUCCAUGUAAGGGGCUCCUCUUCCCACCUGGAACUUGUGAGUGGGGACCCAUGAUGUAUGGGUCUCACCUGACUUGAGGUGAAUUUUGGAGUGAAGGGCCCUGAGGUCAGCUCCCAGGUCGGUCGUGCUGGGCCAGGCCUGGUUUUCACAGGGGCUGAAGGAUCCCAGUCCACCUGUGUGCAUGUCAGGGCUCGGCCGGGAAGAAGCCAGCAAAGUCCCCCGUGUCCCUUGCUGAGUAUUCUGUCACAGACAAGCCUCCAUUAAAGCCACAGCAGUGCUACCCACCAC
RNAcentral lists this long non-coding RNA (3442 nucleotides) under Homo sapiens (human). Its description in RNAcentral is "novel transcript". The record is from RNAcentral. Lineage: Eukaryota; Metazoa; Chordata; Mammalia; Primates; Hominidae.